This is a small nucleolar RNA of Tachyglossus aculeatus (Australian echidna), 136 nucleotides long. RefSeq annotates it as small nucleolar RNA SNORA57. Lineage: Eukaryota; Metazoa; Chordata; Mammalia; Monotremata; Tachyglossidae. The transcript has a single exon. The record is from RefSeq and is a predicted model, not a curated record.
CCUCUAUUUCUCGGCGGGGUCCCGGUCCCCGUAAUGUUCGGAGGUAGAGGGAAGGGGCUCCAGCCUCCCCGGCGUUAUGCCUUCGGUGCCGGUCGUCGCCCGUCCGCUGGUUCUAUCCUCGCUCGCCGGGACAAAC